UACAGAGGUCCCAAGCGUUGUUCGGAUUCACUGGGCGUAAAGGGUGCGUAGGCGGUUGGGUAAGUCUGACGUGAAAUCUCGGAGCUCAACUCCGAAAUGGCGUCAGAAACUGCUCGGCUAGAGGGUUGGAGGGGAGACUGGAAUUCUCGGUGUAGCAGUGAAAUGCGUGGAGAUCGAGAGGAACACCGGUGGCGAAGGCGAGUCUCUGGACAACUCCUGACGCUGAGGCACGAAAGCUAGGGGAGCAAACAGG
This 253-nucleotide ribosomal RNA is filed under the name uncultured bacterium. RNAcentral's name for it is "partial 16S ribosomal RNA". It matches the Rfam family "Bacterial small subunit ribosomal RNA", at positions 524 to 776 of the family's 1533-position model. The record is from RNAcentral.